GCGAUGUGCAAUAACAUCCAGAAGAAUAAGAAGAAAACAUUCAUCAUCGCAAGCAAUUGCCACCCACAAACAAUCGACAUCUGUAAAACCAGAGCAGAUGGUUUCGAUCUUAAAGUGGUGACAUCGGAUCUGAAAGAUUUCGAUUACUCUUCUGGUGACGUUUGUGGAGUUCUGGUUCAGUAUCCCGGCACCGAAGGUGAAUUAUUAGAUUACAGCGAAUUUGUGAAGAACGCGCACGCUAAUGGUGUGAAGGUCGUCAUGGCUAGCGAUUUGUUGGCUUUGACUAUCUUGAAACCUCCUGGUGAAUUUGGAGUUGAUAUUGUGGUGGGUUCGGCUCAAAGAUUUGGAGUUCCGAUGGGUUAUGGAGGUCCU
Molecule: long non-coding RNA, 372 nt
Filed under: Lactuca sativa (garden lettuce)
Lineage: Eukaryota; Viridiplantae; Streptophyta; Magnoliopsida; Asterales; Asteraceae
Description: long non-coding RNA (LSAT_LNC005203)
Source: RNAcentral